RNAcentral lists this ribosomal RNA (301 nucleotides) under uncultured bacterium. RNAcentral describes it as "partial 16S ribosomal RNA". It matches the Rfam family "Bacterial small subunit ribosomal RNA", at positions 509 to 807 of the family's 1533-position model. The record is from RNAcentral.
CAGUCGCCACGGGAAUACAGAGGGUGCAAGCGUUAAUCGGAAUUACUGGGCGUAAAGCGCGCGUAGGUGGUUUGUUAAGUUGGAUGUGAAAUCCCCGGGCUCAACCUGGGAACUGCAUCCAAAACUGGCAGGCUAGAGUAGGGCAGAGGGUGGUGGAAUUUCCUGUGUAGCGGUGAAAUGCGUAGAUAUAGGAAGGAACACCAGUGGCGAAGGCGACCACCUGGGCUCAUACUGACACUGAGGUGCGAAAGCGUGGGGAGCAAACAGGAUUAGAUACCCCCGUAGUCCCUGUCUCUUAUAC